CCUACGGGGGGCAGCAGUGGGGAAUAUUGGACAAUGGGGGCAACCCUGAUCCAGCCAUGCCGCGUGUGUGAAGAAGGCCCUCGGGUUGUAAAGCACUUUCAGUGAGGAAGAACGCCUGGUGGUUAAUACCCAUCAGGAAAGACAUCACUCACAGAAGAAGCACCGGCUAACUCGUGCCAGCAGCCGCGGUAAUACGGAGGGUGCGAGCGUUAAUCGGAAUUACUGGGCGUAAAGCGCGCGUAGGUGGCUUGAUAAGCCGGUUGUGAAAGCCCCGGGCUCAACCUGGGAACGGCAUCCGGAACUGUCAAGCUAGAGUGCAGGAGAGGAAGGUAGAAUUCCCGGUGUAGCGGUGAAAUGCGUAGAGAUCGGGAGGAAUACCAGUGGCGAAGGCGGCCUUCUGGACUGACACUGACACUGAGGUGCGAAAGCGUGGGUAGCAAACAGGAUUAGAUACCCCAGUAGUC
Molecule: ribosomal RNA, 464 nt
Filed under: Vreelandella stevensii
Lineage: Bacteria; Pseudomonadati; Pseudomonadota; Gammaproteobacteria; Oceanospirillales; Halomonadaceae
Description: partial 16S ribosomal RNA
Rfam family: Bacterial small subunit ribosomal RNA
Source: RNAcentral